AAUGAACGCUGGCGGCGUGGAUUAGGCAUGCAAGUCGAACGCGCAUUGGGCAACUGGUGCGAGUGGCGAACGGGUUAGUACAAGUUGGGUAACGUUCCCGGAAGCUGGGGAUAACGUCGAGAAAUCGGCGCUAAUACCGAAUGUGGGCCAGGGGGGUUCGCCUCCCUUGCCUAAAGCAGCAGUGCACUUCCGGAUCGGCUCGACGCCCAUUAGCUAGUUGGCGGGGUAACGGCCCACCAAGGCAUCGAUGGGUAGCUGGCCUGAGAGGGUGGUCAGCAACACGAGGACUGAGAUACGGCCUCGACUCCUACGGGGGCAGCAGUCUAGAGGCUUCGGCAAUGGGGGAAACCCUGACCGAGCGACGCCGCGUGCAGGAUGAA
RNAcentral lists this ribosomal RNA (380 nucleotides) under uncultured bacterium. RNAcentral describes it as "bacterial SSU rRNA". It matches the Rfam family "Bacterial small subunit ribosomal RNA", at positions 28 to 412 of the family's 1533-position model. The record is from RNAcentral.